RNAcentral lists this ribosomal RNA (253 nucleotides) under uncultured bacterium. RNAcentral's name for it is "partial 16S ribosomal RNA". It matches the Rfam family "Bacterial small subunit ribosomal RNA", at positions 524 to 776 of the family's 1533-position model. The record is from RNAcentral.
GACGGAAGGUGCAAGCGUUGCUCGGAAUCACUGGGCGUAAAGGGUGCGUAGGCGGCCGUGCAAGUCUGGCGUGAAAGCCCCGGGCUCAGCCCGGGAAGUGCGCUCGAAACUGCGCGGCUCGAGUGCCGGAGGGGAGAGUGGAAUUCCUGGUGUAGCGGUGAAAUGCGUAGAUAUCAGGAGGAACACCGAUGGCGAAGGCAGGUCUCUGGGCCGAUACUGACGCUGAGGAGCGAAAGCGUGGGGAGCGAACGGG